GGGCUUUCAUUUUCCCCGAUCGGUCCCUAUAUUCGCUGUGUCGGCUCGACCGACUAUGGCGAUAAACAGGCGAUGCAAUAAGCCGUUCGGACCCGGGGGCGGUACCCGGCGCCUCCACCAAAAGCCGCUCGCUUCACCGCAAGCGGCUUCUGAUGGGGGCGAAACAGGAUCGACGAAGGUGUAAAGAUCGUGCUUUUGCCCGGCAUUGUACCACCGUUAUCGGGCUAAACUUGAUAGUUGCCAACGACAACUAUGCGGAAGCCCGUCUCGCUGCUUAAUGCGGUGCGACAGCUUCAAUCAAACUCCUAGGGGUUCGCACCUCUAGGCGGGGUUCGGAGGUACCUGGCAACAGAAACCUCCACU
RNAcentral lists this transfer-messenger RNA (363 nucleotides) under Kaistia sp. SCN 65-12. It matches the Rfam family "Alphaproteobacteria transfer-messenger RNA". From Rfam's summary of the family: Bacterial tmRNA, also known as 10Sa RNA or SsrA, is named for its dual tRNA and mRNA-like properties. Its role is to liberate the mRNA from a stalled ribosome. To accomplish this part of the tmRNA is used as a reading frame that ends in a translation stop signal. Lineage: Bacteria; Pseudomonadati; Pseudomonadota; Alphaproteobacteria; Hyphomicrobiales; Kaistiaceae. The record is from RNAcentral.